RNAcentral lists this ribosomal RNA (500 nucleotides) under uncultured bacterium. RNAcentral's name for it is "bacterial SSU rRNA". It matches the Rfam family "Bacterial small subunit ribosomal RNA", at positions 26 to 521 of the family's 1533-position model. The record is from RNAcentral.
AGAUUGAACGCUAGCGGGAUGCCUUACACAUGCAAGUCGAACGGCAGCACGGACUUCGGUCUGGUAGCGAGUGGCGAACGGGUGAGUAAUGUAUCGGAACGUGCCUAGUAGCGGGGGAUAACUACGCGAAAGCGUAGCUAAUACCGCAUACGCCCUACGGGGGAAAGCAGGGGAUCGUAAGACCUUGCACUAUUAGAGCGGCCGAUAUCGGAUUAGCUAGUUGGUGGGGUAACGGCUCACCAAGGCGACGAUCCGUAGCUGGUUUGAGAGGACGACCAGCCACACUGGGACUGAGAUACGGCCCAGACUCCUACGGGAGGCAGCAGUGGGGAAUUUUGGACAAUGGGGGAAACCCUGAUCCAGCCAUCCCGCGUGUGCGAUGAAGGCCUUCGGGUUGUAAAGCACUUUUGGCAGGAAAGAAACGUCAUGGGUUAAUACCCCGUGAAACUGACGGUACCUGCAGAAUAAGCACCGGCUAACUACGUGCCAGCAGCCGCGGU